Molecule: RNase P RNA, 313 nt
Filed under: Actinomyces sp.
Lineage: Bacteria; Bacillati; Actinomycetota; Actinomycetes; Actinomycetales; Actinomycetaceae
Description: partial RNase P RNA component class A
Rfam family: Bacterial RNase P class A
About the family: Ribonuclease P (RNase P) is a ubiquitous endoribonuclease, found in archaea, bacteria and eukarya as well as chloroplasts and mitochondria. Its best characterised activity is the generation of mature 5'-ends of tRNAs by cleaving the 5'-leader elements of precursor-tRNAs. Cellular RNase Ps are ribonucleoproteins.
Source: RNAcentral
GGAGUCGGCCGGAUGGCCGCGGUCCCGCCGGGGCGACCCGGGGGGGCUGAGGAAGGUCGGGGCUCCACAGGGCAGGGUGCUGGCGAGACGCCAGUCGGGGUGACCCGCAGGACAGUGCCACAGAGAACAGACCGCCGAUGGCCGGCUCCGCCGGCACAGGCAAGGGUGAAACGGUGCGGUAAGAGCGCACCAGCACCCCGGGUGACCGGGGUGGCUCGGUAAACCCCACCCGGAGCAAGGUCGAGCAGGGAGUGGGUGGCCCGCCCGAUACUCCCAGGUGGACCGCACAGAUGGAUGGCCAUCCAGGGGGCAG